CCCUUAGAUGUUCUGGGCUGCACGCGCGCUACACUGACACGUUCAACGAGUUUUGCCUGCUCCGAUGGGACUGGGUAAUCUUAUGAAAGCGUGUCGUGAUGGGGAUAGAUUAUUGCAAUUAUUAAUCUUCAACGAGGAAUUCCUAGUAAGUACAAGUCAUCAGCUUGUGCUGAUUACGUCCCUGCCCUUUGUACACACCGCCCGUCGCUCCUACCGAUUGGGUGAUCCGGUGAAUAACUCGGACUGCAGCUAUUCGGGAGACCGUUAGCUUGUGGAAAGUUUAGUAAAUCUUAUCACUUAGAGGAAGGAGAAGUCGUAACA
Molecule: ribosomal RNA, 321 nt
Filed under: uncultured eukaryote
Lineage: Eukaryota
Description: partial 18S ribosomal RNA
Rfam family: Eukaryotic small subunit ribosomal RNA
Source: RNAcentral